Molecule: ribosomal RNA, 465 nt
Filed under: uncultured bacterium
Lineage: Bacteria
Description: partial 16S ribosomal RNA
Rfam family: Bacterial small subunit ribosomal RNA
Source: RNAcentral
CUACGGGGUGCUGCAGUGGGGAAUAUUGGACAAUGGGGGAAACCCUGAUCCAGCAAUGCCGCGUGUGUGAAGAAGGCCUGCGGGUUGUAAAGCACUUUCGGUUGGGAGGACUGCUUCUAGCACUAAUAUUGUUGGAAGUUGACGUUACCUUCAGAAGAAGCACCGGCUAACUCCGUGCCAGCAGCCGCGGUAAUACGGAGGGUGCAAGCGUUAAUCGGAAUUACUGGGCGUAAAGCGCGCGUAGGCGGCUAGAUCAGUCGGGUGUGAAAGCCCCGGGCUUAACCGGGGAACUGCAUCCGAUACUGUCUAGCUUGAGUACAGGAGAGGAGAGUGGAAUUCCACAUGUAGCGGUGAAAUGCGUAGAUAUGUGGAGGAACACCAAUGGCGAAGGCAGCUCUCUGGCCUGAUACUGACGCUGAGGUGCGAAAGCGUAGGGAGCAAACAGGAUUAGAUACCCCAGUAGUC